Panicum hallii is the source of this 1003-nucleotide long non-coding RNA. RefSeq lists it as uncharacterized. The transcript is spliced from 3 exons. NCBI's taxonomy places the organism in Eukaryota, Viridiplantae, Streptophyta, Magnoliopsida, Poales, Poaceae. The record is from RefSeq and is a predicted model, not a curated record.
AAGCGGGCCGAUCGGGCGCCAUGGCACUGUGGUCUGUCAGUAGUGCACACUUAAACCCUACUUGAUCUAUGAUCAACCUUGUGAUUGGCCGGUCUAGCCAUUUCUUCAAGGCGUGCCACCUUAAGUGGCUGUGAACCAAAUGGUCCUUCACAUUGCACUCGGAGUUGAUCUGAGUUGCAUGAUGUGUAUCCACUGACGCUCGAGCUUGUAGAAACUGGUCGGCUUGCAUAUGAGUAAUUAUAUGGCUAACAGGAAUCAUGUCCAGGGUUCCUGCCAAGAUCACAAUUUUUCACAAAAUAUCACUUUGCUCAUCAAACAGGGCCAAGGAUUCUUGCAUCUGUCAAGUUGUAGCAAGAAUUGCCGAACUAAGUUCAAGCAUCCAGGGACAGCAUGCUUCCAGUAAUAUCCAAAUAGAUAAGACACUGAAACUAGUUCAGGGUGUCCUCAAAACUCUGUAGGCUCAGAGAGCACCAUCUGUAACUGUAAGCAAGGAAAGUGGUGAUCUAUUGCAGUUUGAGGUAAACCAAUUCCUACGGACACGGAAAGUUACGGUUUCCUUGCUUGCAUAUGAGGAAUUUUGUCUUGAAGUCCUGCCAAGAUUACAAUCAUUUUCAGAAGAUAUCACUUCUGGACAUCAUUUGGCUUGAAGUUGGGCAAGGUUUUUGCAUCUGUCAGGGCCUUGCCGCUCCAAGGAUGGAAGGGCGAAGCUAAGUUGAUUCGUCAGGGAAACUCGGAAAGGACACUAAUUUAGUUGUAGCCAUCCUAAAAAACUUGGAACUUUCUGUUGAACCACGGAAGGGCGUCUAUCGAUCUACUGCCAUCGGAGAUGAAUCUCAUCAUUUGAAUUUUCCUUUAGACCUCUAGUGUUAUUAGCUGGGAUAUUUGUUAGUAAACUGGGAAAUUUUAUGGUUGUGCACUGAUAUGUUUCCGAGUGUAUUUUGGCAAAUGGCAAUCGAUGUGGUUCAUGGACCAGUAUCCUGACUUUGGCCAAAUGAAGGCUGCA